UGGGGAAUAUUGGGCAAUGGGGCGCAAGCCUGACCCAGCAACGCCGCGUGGAGGAAGAAGGUUUUCGGAUCGUAAACUCCUGUCCUUGGUGAAGAGGAGAAGACGGUAGCCAAGGAGGAAGCCCCGGCUAACUACGUGCCAGCAGCCGCGGUAAUACGUAGGGGGCAAGCGUUGUCCGGAAUGAUUGGGCGUAAAGGGCGCGUAGGCGGCUCUGUAAGUCUGGAGUGAAAGUCCUGCCUUCAAGGUGGGAAUUGCUUUGGAUACUGCAGGGCUUGAGUGCAGGAGAGGUCAUUGGAAUUCCCAGUGUAGCGGUGAAAUGCGUAGAGAUUGGGAGGAACACCAGUGGCGAAGGCGAGUGACUGGACUGUAACUGACGCUGAGGCGCGAAAGUGUGGGGAGCAAACAGGAUUAGAU
This 414-nucleotide ribosomal RNA is filed under the name uncultured bacterium. Its description in RNAcentral is "bacterial SSU rRNA". It matches the Rfam family "Bacterial small subunit ribosomal RNA", at positions 355 to 783 of the family's 1533-position model. The record is from RNAcentral.